CCGUAACUAUAACGGUCCUAAGGUAGCGAAAUUCCUUGUCGGGCAAGUUCCGACCCGCACGAAAGGCGUAACGAUUUGGGCGCUGUCUCAGCUGUAGACUCGGUGAAGUCUUAGUACCUGUGAAGAUGCAGGUUGCCCGCGACUAGACGGAAAGACCCCAUGGAGCUUCACUGCAGGUUGACAUUGGGCUUGGAUGCAUGAUGUACAGGAUAGGUGGGAGGCUGUGAGCCGUGCGCGCCAGCGUACGGGGAGCCGCUGUUGGGAUACCACCCUUCAUGCAUCUAGGUCCUAACCGGAGGCAACGGGCCACGGGACAGUGUCAGUCGGGCAGUUUGACUGGGGCGGUCGCCUCCCAAAGAGUAACGGAGGCGCCCAAAGAUACCCUCAGCAUGGAUGGAAACCAUGCAUAGAGUGCAAAGGCAUAAGGGUGUCUGACUGCGAGACAUACAGGUCGAGCAGGGACGAAAGUCGGGCUUAGUGAUCCGGCGGAUCCGAAUGGAAGGGCCGUCGCUCAACGGAUAAAAGCUACCCUGGGGAUAACAGGCUGAUCUCCCCCAAGAGUCCACAUCGACGGGGAGGUUUGGCACCUCGAUGUCGGCUCAUCGCAUCCUGGGGCUGUAUUCGGUCCCAAGGGUUUGGCUGUUCGCCAAUUAAAGCGGUACGCGAGCUGGGUUCAGAACGUCGUGAGACAGUUCGGUCCCUAUCUGUCGUGGGCGCAGGAUAUUUGAAAGGCGCUGUCCCUAGUACGAGAGGACCGGGAUGGACGCACCUCUGGUGCACCAGUUGUCACGCCAGUGGCACAGCUGGGCAGCCAAGUCCGGACGGGAUAAGCGCUGAAGGCAUCUAAGCGUGAAGCCCCCUCCAAGAUGAGACCUCCCAUUGGCGACAAGUAAGGCCCCUCGAAGACGACGAGGUUGAUAGGCCGCGAGUGCAAGCGCAGCGAUGUGCUUAGCGGGGCGGUACUAAUAGGCCGAGGACUUGGCCAA
This 986-nucleotide ribosomal RNA is filed under the name human gut metagenome. RNAcentral describes it as "bacterial LSU rRNA". It matches the Rfam family "Bacterial large subunit ribosomal RNA", at positions 1934 to 2925 of the family's 2925-position model. The record is from RNAcentral.